This 643-nucleotide ribosomal RNA is filed under the name uncultured bacterium. Its description in RNAcentral is "bacterial SSU rRNA". It matches the Rfam family "Bacterial small subunit ribosomal RNA", at positions 232 to 885 of the family's 1533-position model. The record is from RNAcentral.
CGCGGCCUAUCAGCUUGUUGGUGGGGUAAAGGCCUACCAAGGCGACGACGGGUAGCCGGCCUGAGAGGGCGACCGGUCACACUGGGACUGAGACACGGCCCAGACUCCUACGGGAGGCAGCAGUAGGGAAUAUUGCGCAAUGGACGAAAGUCUGACGCAGCAACGCCGCGUGAGGGAUGAAGUACAUCGAGAUGUAAACCUCUUUCAGCAGGGACGAAGCCAACGUGACGGUACCUGCAGAAGAAGCACCGGCUAACUACGUGCCAGCAGCCGCGGUAAUACGUAGGGUGCAAGCGUUGUCCGGAUUUAUUGGGCGUAAAGGGCUCGUAGGCGGUCUGUCGCGUCGGAUGUGAAAACUCGGAGCUUAACUCCGGGCCUGCAUUCGAUACGGGCAGACUAGAGUUCGGUAGGGGAGACUGGAAUUUCUGGUGUAGCGGUGGAAUGCGCAGAUAUCAGGAAGAACACCGAUGGCGAAGGCAGGUCUCUGGGCCGACACUGACGCUGAGGAGCGAAAGCAUGGGGAGCGAACAGGAUUAGAUACCCUGGUAGUCCAUGCCGUAAACGGUGGGCGUUAGGUGUGGGGAAUAAUCUACAUUCUCCGCGCCGCAGCUAACGCAUUAAGCGCCCCGCCUGGGGAGUACGG